RNAcentral lists this long non-coding RNA (902 nucleotides) under Ananas comosus (pineapple). Its description in RNAcentral is "long non-coding RNA (ACOM_LNC008263)". The record is from RNAcentral. Lineage: Eukaryota; Viridiplantae; Streptophyta; Magnoliopsida; Poales; Bromeliaceae.
AACGGUAGAUGGUCUACCGUUUGGUCUACCGUUUGGUUUGGGGUUAAGGAAAAAUUAGUUAUUCCAAGAAUAGGAUUAAGUUCAGGGUUAAGGUAGAAUUAGAGUAUUUUUGUGUUUGGUUGGAGGUUGGAGUUAGUCCAGAAUAGUGAAAAAUAGUAUUUGGUUGGAGUAGAUAGGAUAAGAAGAAUAGUAUGUUAUUAUGAAUAGAAAAUAAUAUUUGGUUGGAAUUUGAUGGGGUUAAAUGGGGUUAGCUAAUCCGGAAUAGUCCAUUUAAGGUGGGGUUAGCUAACCCCACUUAUUUUUAGGUGUGUUUGGAAUAAUAUGGGGGUUAAGGCCCCUUAACCCCCCACCAAACAAAGGGAGACUAGAGCCACCAACUUCGCAGGUACGACGUUGUUCUACGGGGCCUCUCCACUGACUAGGUUUGAAUUUUUUCUUUUUUCUUUUUUCUUUUUUUUUUUUUGAGAAAGAUAGUAUGUUAUCUAUUUUGUACAUAUGAAAAAUGAAUUCAGCUAUAGAACUUGAGACAACUCGAUUUAAAAAAAAGUUAAAGACAACUAAGAAAAAAUAAACACAAUUACUUAGAGGCUAGAGCUGCAUAACUCAUAGGUCCUUAGAUACCGUAUAAGUUAGAAGUUACUAGAUUAGCCCUUAAUUAAGAAGUGCCUACCGCGGUUGAUAAUUUACUUAAAAGGUAUUAGUUCGGAAAUCAACAGCCCAUUCAAGUUGAGACUAUUGAUUAUUAACUUAUGGGAUGCGUAUUCAGUAAAUUUCUGAUGUUCAACAUACUAGAAGAUAAAUAUGUUUUAAAAAAUCUGUGAUGAUGGUCAGGAAUGUUUCGAAACCUAUAAGUAAGAGGGUUGUUUGGCUCAAUGUAGAGUAUAGUAUUAUUUAUUAAAAUU